RNAcentral lists this transfer RNA (85 nucleotides) under Felis catus (domestic cat). It matches the Rfam family "tRNA". Rfam says of the family: Transfer RNA (tRNA) molecules are approximately 80 nucleotides in length. Their secondary structure includes four short double-helical elements and three loops (D, anti-codon, and T loops). Further hydrogen bonds mediate the characteristic L-shaped molecular structure. tRNAs have two regions of fundamental functional importance: the anti-codon, which is responsible for specific mRNA codon recognition, and the 3' end, to which the tRNAs corresponding amino acid is attached (by aminoacyl-tRNA synthetases). tRNAs cope with the degeneracy of the genetic code in two manners: having more than one tRNA (with a specific anti-codon) for a particular amino acid; and 'wobble' base-pairing, i.e. permitting non-standard base-pairing at the 3rd anti-codon position. Lineage: Eukaryota; Metazoa; Chordata; Mammalia; Carnivora; Felidae. The record is from Rfam by way of RNAcentral.
GCCUGGUUGGCUCAGUCGGUUGAGCGUCUGACUUCGGCUGAGGUCAUGAUCUCACGAUUUGUGAGCUAGAGCCCCACAUCGGGCU